GUUUGUGUUUCAGCUACAGAUAAGGCGUUCGUGAUAUUGAUGGCGAAGGUCAGCUUUUAUCUUUAUCGUCUGUGUGGGGCAGUCCUUGAACUUGGAAUAUUGCGCUUAAAGAAGUGAAACGGAAAAGUAAAGCAAAAGUAAGUAAAAUAGAAACAAAUACAUGAAAACAUAAUAUUUUCUAUUUUCUAAAUUUCGCUUUUAAUUGUGCUGUCAAUG
This 216-nucleotide long non-coding RNA is filed under the name Drosophila guanche. Lineage: Eukaryota; Metazoa; Arthropoda; Insecta; Diptera; Drosophilidae. The record is from RNAcentral.